GACGAACGCUGGCGGCGUGCUUAACACAUGCAAGUCGAACGGAAAGGCCCUGCUUGCAGGGUCCUCGCGUGGCGAACGGGUGAGUAACACGCGCGUGAACUGCCCUGCUCUUCGGGAUAAGCCUGUGCAACUAGGCCUAAUACCGGCUAGGAGCCAUAUUGAAUGUGAUGGUUGGAAAGUUUUUUCGGUGUAGGAUGAGCUCGCGGCCUAUCAGCUUGCUGGUGGGGUAAUGGCCUACCAAGGCGGCUGCGGGUAGCCGGACUGAGAGGGUGGACGGCCACAGUGGGACUGAGAUACGGCCCAGACGCGGACGGGAGGCAGAAGUGGGGAAGAUUGCACAAUGGGCGCAAGCCUGAUGCAGCGACGCCGCGUGGGGGAUGACGGCCUUAGGGUUGAAAACUCAUUUCGCUAGGGACGAAGCUUUUUGUGACGGUACCUAGAUAAGAAGCACCGGCUAACUACGUG
This 465-nucleotide ribosomal RNA is filed under the name uncultured bacterium. RNAcentral describes it as "partial 16S ribosomal RNA". It matches the Rfam family "Bacterial small subunit ribosomal RNA", at positions 28 to 507 of the family's 1533-position model. The record is from RNAcentral.